AUACUCUUGCAAAAUUACAUUUUACAGAUGGAAAACUGAGGGAUAGAGAGAAUAAGGACUUUGCCUAAGACUGAACAGUUAAGGAGUGGGACAAGUUGGAGUUAUGUCCAGUACAUCAUGCUCUAGAGCCUGGGAAAAUGUGAAACCUCUGUUGGGAGGCAGCAGAUGGCUGAAAUUCUGAUGUGAUGUAGCUACUUAAUGCACGAUCUGAAAACCCCAGCAUUGGUGAUUUUGGGACAGGUCUAGAAUAUUCCAAUAAAUAUAUUAACAUACCAAGAAGUCCAGGAGCAACCACUGGGCAGAUACAAAACCUUACAUCCCUGGUGAUGUCUCUGAGCUGAACAGACAUGUCCUUGCAAAAGAGUUAUAUAACGGUGGUACGAUGGUGUCCCCUCGUGACAGAAGCUUUAACUACAGCUUGAAUAUCGUGUGA
This 433-nucleotide long non-coding RNA is filed under the name Saimiri boliviensis boliviensis (Bolivian squirrel monkey). RNAcentral's name for it is "lncRNA (ENSSBOG00000036515.1)". Lineage: Eukaryota; Metazoa; Chordata; Mammalia; Primates; Cebidae. The record is from RNAcentral.